Molecule: non-coding RNA, 198 nt
Filed under: Bacteroidota bacterium
Lineage: Bacteria; Pseudomonadati; Bacteroidota
Source: RNAcentral
CUAACUUUGCAUCGCACCGGUUUGCAGUUAUCAUCCGGUAACUGCAAAAAAAGGGAAUCAGGUGAAAAACCUGAACAGUUUCCGCUGCUGUAAUCUCCGGGAACUGCACUGGCAACCCGCCACUGUUCCAAUUUGGGAAUGGGAAGGCGCCAGAUGCAGGGAGAAAGUCAGAAGACCUGCCUGUGCUGUUAAUAAAUC